RNAcentral lists this ribosomal RNA (434 nucleotides) under uncultured bacterium. Its description in RNAcentral is "partial 16S ribosomal RNA". It matches the Rfam family "Bacterial small subunit ribosomal RNA", at positions 29 to 507 of the family's 1533-position model. The record is from RNAcentral.
AGCGAACGCUGGCGGCAGGCCUAACACAUGCAAGUCGAACGAACCUUUCGGGGUUAGUGGCGGACGGGUGAGUAACACGUGGGAACGUGCCUUUAGGUUCGGAAUAACUCAGGGAAACUUGUGCUAAUACCGAAUGUGCCCUUCGGGGGAAAGAUUAAUCGCCUUUAGAGCGGCCCGCGUCUGAUUAGCUAGUUGGUUGAGGUAAUGGCUCACCAAGGCGACGAUCAGUAGCUGGUCUGAGAGGAUGAUCAGCCACAUUGGGACUGAGACACGGCCCAAACUCCUACGGGAGGCAGCAGUGGGGAAUCUUGCGCAAUGGGCGAAAGCCUGACGCAGCCAUGCCGCGUGAAUGAUGAAGGUCUUAGGAUUAUAAAAUUCUUUCACCGGGGACGAUAAUGACGGUACCCGGAGAAGAAGCCCCGGCUAACUUCGUG